AGGCACUGAGAAGGGAACACCGCCCGCGCUCUCACUCCGCUGGCACAACCUCUCAAGAUAAGGUGUCCGGAUGCCACCAAGAUACACCUGCUCCACUGACACCGGUUUAGAGAGAGAGAGAGAGAGAGAGAGAGAGAGAGAGAGAGAGAGAGAGGGACACAAAAUACCCUCCUCCAAAUCUCCAUCUCUAGAACAUCCACUGGUGACUGUAAGUGGUGAUGUUGUAAUUUGAACUGGUGGUGUUGUGAUGACUAUGCUGAAGUGAACUGGUGACUCUCUCUCUCUACUGGUGGUGUUGUGGUGAGUUAAACUGAAGUGAUGUGAAUAGUGAGUCAGAUUGAAGUGAUGUGGUUGUGGUGAGCAGACUGAAGUGAUAUUUUGUGUGGUGACCAAAUCUGAAGUGACUGGAAUUGAAACGGUAUUGGUGGUGGUGACGUAGUGGUGACGUAGUGGUGACUGAAAGAAGUGAUGUGGUGAUUGCAACUGAAGUGACGCUGUGGUGAUGACUGGAACUGAAAUAAUGGUGAUGACGAAAAUUGAAACAUGAGUGGUGACUGAAAAAUAUUAGUGUGGUGGUGACUGAAGCACACACACACACACACACACACACACACACACACACACACACACACACACACACACACACACACACAC
Portunus trituberculatus (swimming crab) is the source of this 654-nucleotide long non-coding RNA. RefSeq lists it as uncharacterized. The record is from RefSeq and is a predicted model, not a curated record. Lineage: Eukaryota; Metazoa; Arthropoda; Malacostraca; Decapoda; Portunidae. The transcript has 2 exons.